UUCGGAUCGGAGUCUGCAACCCGACUCCGUGAAGCUGGAUUCGCUAGUAAUCGCGCAUCAGCCAUGGCGCGGUGAAUACGUUCCCGGGCCUUGUACACACCGCCCGUCAAGCCAUGGAAGCCGGGGGUGCCUGAAGUGUGCAGCCGCAAGGAGCGCCCUAAGGUAAAACCGGUGACUGGGGCUAAGUCGUAACAAGGUAGC
RNAcentral lists this ribosomal RNA (201 nucleotides) under uncultured bacterium. RNAcentral describes it as "partial 16S ribosomal RNA". It matches the Rfam family "Bacterial small subunit ribosomal RNA", at positions 1292 to 1500 of the family's 1533-position model. The record is from RNAcentral.